This 66-nucleotide transfer RNA is filed under the name Ochthebius sp. IBE<ESP> AN76. RNAcentral describes it as "tRNA-His". The record is from RNAcentral. Lineage: Eukaryota; Metazoa; Arthropoda; Insecta; Coleoptera; Hydraenidae.
AUUUAAGUAGUUUAUAAAAAAUUUUGAUUUGUGGUGUCAAAGAUAUAAAUUAUUUUAUCUUAAAUA